GGUAGUCCACGCCCUAAACGAUGUCUACUAGUUGUCGGGUUUUAAUUAACUUGGUAACGCAGCUAACGCGUGAAGUAGACCGCCUGGGGAGUACGGUCGCAAGAUUAAAACUCAAAGGAAUUGACGGGGACCCGCACAAGCGGUGGAUGAUGUGGAUUAAUUCGAUGCAACGCGAAAAACCUUACCUACCCUUGACAUGGCAGAAAUCCUCGAGAGAUUGAGGAGUGCUCGAAAGAGAAUCUGCACACAGGUGCUGCAUGGCUGUCGUCAGCUCGUGUCGUGAGAUGUUGGGUUAAGUCCCGCAACGAGCGCAACCCUUGUCAUUAGUUGCUACGAAAGGGCACUCUAAUGAGACUGCCGGUGACAAACCGGAGGAAGGUGGGGAUGACGUCAAGUCCUCAUGGCCCUUAUGGGUAGGGCUUCACACGUCAUACAAUGGUACAUACAGAGCGCCGCCAACCCGCGAGGGGGAGCUAAUCGCAGAAAGUGUAUCGUAGUCCGGAUUGUAGUCUGCAACUCGACUGCAUGAAGUUGGAAUCGCUAGUAAUCGCGGAUCA
RNAcentral lists this ribosomal RNA (557 nucleotides) under Duganella sp. RNAcentral's name for it is "bacterial SSU rRNA". It matches the Rfam family "Bacterial small subunit ribosomal RNA", at positions 789 to 1351 of the family's 1533-position model. Lineage: Bacteria; Pseudomonadati; Pseudomonadota; Betaproteobacteria; Burkholderiales; Oxalobacteraceae. The record is from RNAcentral.